RNAcentral lists this ribosomal RNA (440 nucleotides) under uncultured bacterium. Its description in RNAcentral is "partial 16S ribosomal RNA". It matches the Rfam family "Bacterial small subunit ribosomal RNA", at positions 338 to 795 of the family's 1533-position model. The record is from RNAcentral.
CCUACGGGUGGCAGCAGUGGGGAAUAUUGCACAAUGGGGGAAACCCUGAUGCAGCGACGCCGCGUGAGCGAUGAAGUAUUUCGGUAUGUAAAGCUCUAUCAGCAGGGAAGAAAAUGACGGUACCUGACUAAGACGCCCCGGCUAACUACGUGCCAGCAGCCGCGGUAAUACGUAGGGGGCAAGCGUUAUCCGGAUUUACUGGGUGUAAAGGGAGCGUAGACGGCUUUGCAAGCCAGGUGUGAAAGGAUGGGGCUCAACCCCAGGACGGCAUUUGGAACUGUCAGGCUAGAGUGGCGGAGAGGCAGGCGGAAUUCCUGGUGUAGCGGUGAAAUGCGUAGAUAUUAGGAGGAACACCAGUGGCGAAGGCGGCCUGCUGGACGAUGACUGACGUUGAGGCUCGAAAGCGUGGGGAGCAAACAGGAUUAGAUACCCCUGUAGUC